Small nuclear RNA from Mesocricetus auratus (golden hamster), 158 nucleotides. Its record names the gene U1. It matches the Rfam family "U1 spliceosomal RNA". From Rfam's summary of the family: U1 is a small nuclear RNA (snRNA) component of the spliceosome (involved in pre-mRNA splicing). Lineage: Eukaryota; Metazoa; Chordata; Mammalia; Rodentia; Cricetidae. The record is from Ensembl.
AUGCUUGACUGGCAAGGGAGACGCCAUGACCAUGAAGGUGGUGAGAGUGAGGCUUCUCCACGGCCCUCUGGAUGUGCUGACACCUAUAUUCCUCCGAAUUCGGGAGACUCGACUGCAUAAUUUGCAGGAGUGGGGGACUGUGUUCACACUGGACUAAA